Oryza sativa Japonica Group (Japanese rice) is the source of this 3721-nucleotide non-coding RNA. The record is from RefSeq and is a predicted model, not a curated record. NCBI's taxonomy places the organism in Eukaryota, Viridiplantae, Streptophyta, Magnoliopsida, Poales, Poaceae.
GGACGCCCACGCGAAUACGCGAUCCUCCCCUUCCUCCUCCUCCCCACCAACUCGAUCGCGCGUCGCGGAAUCCGGAUGCUCCCGGCGGCGCUGCUCGCCGUCGGCGCAUGAGCUUCCUCCGCGCGCUCGCGGACUCCCUGUCGUCGCUGCUGUACUCGGCGGCUGCGAAGGGGGGAGACAUGGACGGGGCCGCGGCGGCGCCGUCGCCGGCGGCGGUGGUGGGGGAGCGCGUGGCGGUGAAGCUCAGGGGAUACUUCGAGCUGGCCAAGGAGGAGAUCGACAAGGCCGUGCGCGCCGAGGAGUGGGGGCUCCCCGACGACGCCGCCGCGCACUACCGCAACGCGCUCCGCGUCAUGCUCGAGGCCAAGGCCGCCCGCGUCCCGGACGCCGUAUCCUCCAGCGAGAGGGGGCAGGUUAGGGUCUACCAGGAGAAGAUCGCAAAGUGGCAGACUCAGGUGGAGGAACGACUCCGGGUGCUCGGCCAGAGGAGUGGAGCGGCUGCACCAGUGCCAAAGAAGGUUGUUACAAACAAUCCUGUUAAUAGGAAUGACAGAGCCGCAUCAACUAGCUUCCAUAGGCCUACUUCGCAGCCUAGCCCUACCUUUAAUAGAGGUGGUCAAGCAUCUUCUCAUCAGAAGAGUAGCAGUGGAGGUGCCAAACCUGUGCAAAGAGCUGGUGCAAACUAUGAUGAUAAGCUUGUUGAAAUGAUAAAUACGACCAUUGUGGAUAGAAGUCCUGCUGUUAAAUGGGAAGAUGUUGCUGGCCUUGACAAGGCAAAGCAAGCACUCAUGGAAAUGGUCAUUUUACCUACCAAGCGAAGGGAUUUGUUUACUGGUCUUCGGAGGCCUGCUAGAGGGCUUCUUCUCUUUGGUCCCCCGGGGAAUGGAAAGACGAUGCUUGCCAAAGCUGUUGCAUCAGAAUCUGAAGCAACAUUUUUUAAUGUUUCAGCUUCUUCACUGACAUCAAAGUGGGUAGGAGAGGCUGAAAAGCUUGUACGGACACUCUUCAUGGUCGCUGUCGAUAGACAACCAUCUGUAAUUUUUAUGGAUGAGAUUGAUAGUGUCAUGUCAGCAAGGUUAGCUAAUGAGAAUGAUGCUAGCAGGCGGUUGAAAUCUGAAUUUCUUAUCCAGUUUGAUGGGGUCACUUCAAACCCUGAUGAUCUUGUUAUUGUUAUAGGUGCUACCAAUAAGCCACAAGAGCUGGAUGAUGCUGUUCUCCGUAGACUGGUAAAGAGAAUAUAUGUGCCAUUACCUGAUCCAAAUGUCCGAAGAUUACUGCUGAAAACUCAGCUCAAAGGACAAUCAUUCAAAUUAUCCAGUCAUGAUCUUGAAAGGCUUGCUGCAGAUACUGAAGGAUAUUCCGGGAGUGAUCUGAGAGCAUUGUGUGAGGAAGCUGCCAUGAUGCCAAUCAGAGAGCUUGGUCCACAAAAUAUUCUCACUAUAAAAGCAAAUCAGUUGCGGCCCCUGAAAUACGAAGAUUUCAAGAAAGCCAUGACUGUGAUUAGGCCAAGCCUGCAGAAGAGCAAGUGGGACGAGCUAGAGAAAUGGAACGAAGAAUUUGGUUCAAGUUGACACUAGACAAUGGCCUAUCUGAAAGCCUGAAAAGAUCAAAUUCUUGAGAUGCCAUCACAACUGAAACUGAACACACGAGCGAACCAUCAGUUGAUGCCCAGAAUCCAGAUAAGCCAUCUCAUGAUUGGAGAAGAAUGAUUGGUGGUGGCCAAUUGGUGAGGCGACGAGGAGCUAAUCAUGUCCCGGACGAAGCCAGCGUCGCGAUCGCCAUGGCAGCAGCAGCAGGUGGACGUUUACUCAUCCGCAUGGCCCAUUUAGCGCCCCCAUUUGCGAUUUUUCGCAGCAUCACGGAGAAAAGAAAAGAAAAGAAAAGGCGCGGAUGGACGCAAUGCAUGUGCCGUCGCACAGAGCUGGAUCUCGCAGCAGCAGCACCACACCACCUAUGAUGACAUGUGAGCUGGGACGAAGUUCACAUGCUGGCGAGGGGCCCACCUGUCAGUGAGUGAUUGCAAACCGCCGAUAUCCGAUGACACGCGGCGAGAGUUUACUGAACUCGACCAAUUACAUCAAGAUGAUACAACCGUCCUGAGAAUGCUUCUGAUCCCUGUAUAGAUAAGAAAUUGGAGAAUUUAGGCUGCAGUGGCAGCUGCGAGCUACUCGUGACGGGUUUGAUAAGUAGAUUUGGUUGUCGGGUCGGCUGGUGUCGGUGAUGGCGAUGGAGGCAGAGGAGGGAGCAGUGAUUUUUAAGUUGGGCGGCCGAGUUAGUUAGGAGGAGUGAUGUCCAUCCACAGUGUCGCCAAAGACUUGUUCUUCAUGGCCAUGUGACAAGGAAGGAAGGAAGCAGAUCAGGCUGGGAUCAUCAAUGCAAUCCUGGCUUAGGAUUCUUGUUUUGGUGAGCUGACCACCACUUGACCAGAGUAAUUAAGCCAAUUAAGAUGGUUAUUACUACUACUACAAUCACAUUCUCUGGUCUCUCUCCACAGAUAGUGAUCUGAUCUGAUCUGAUCAGAUGCAAAGUUGUUGCUGUAACUGAAAAGCCAUAUCUUUUCCUCUCAGCUCUACAGCAGCUAUCUUCUGUGCAAGAUAUUCAGAGAGGGAAUAUGUGUCACUGUGUGGCUUUGGCCUGCAAACGCCUACUAAUCCUGGGGAAUUGCAGUGGCAAUGGUGAAUGGUUCUGAUAAUCCUGUUUUGUGCUGAGGUGUGGGGCCUGUGGUGAGGGCCCAGUUGUCUGUGCUCCACUGGUGGGUGGGCCAGGUUACUUGGAUCAGAAUGUUCCUCUUCUCCUACAUACCCUGGCUGGUGAUGAUGUGGAUCUCAGGUUCAGCAGUUUCAGCACCAAUUGCAGGUUUAUGGUAUCAUCUUGACGCCAUAUCCCAAUGCCCGAAUUUCAAGGGAUUCAGAACAUUGCAGGGGAGCCUGAAACCUUCCAAGGAAUUGCCAUGAGACCCAGAGAAGAUGGUAAAAAUUUCUCUCUACUGUUGCAGCAAGCUGGUCCCCUACCACAUGCCUCUCUCCUGUUGCUGCAGCUCUUCACAUUGCCAAAAACCGGUGCCAUGUAAUCGUACCCAGUUCAGUUCAGAUCCACUCAGAGCAAUCAGCAAUGCAAAUGGGCUGGCUGAUCUGAUCAUCUCCAUGGUGUUCUUGGCAGCAAGAAAACGAGAACCAAACCAAGAACAACAUGGCAGCAGCAAUGGUGUUCCAUGGAUGGCAUUGCAAAUCGAUCUCCACAAUGGCAGCAGCAACCUUUUGACUAGUCCAGAAUAAGGCACGCAGCUCUUGUCCUCCCAUGUCUCCUGGCUGGAUGAUGCUAUUGCUGCCGCUGCUGCAAUUGCUUAUUUACCCACUGGUCAUGGCAUGCAUGUAUUUUUAUGUAUGUGAUGUGUCCCCAUGCUCUGUUUGUUACUACACAACAGUUAUAAAGGUGCAGCUCCUUUGCAUACUUCUGGCAAAAAACUUUCACCCAAAGCAAAAGAAAGAGAUUCAUCAGCAAUGUCAUGGAUUCAUUGAAGGCAAAGAUUUGAUGCAUCCUGUUGGCAAUUGCUAAACACAACUUAGAGAGAGAGAGAGAGAAUGAGAAAGAUAGAGUCUUUGGAAUGUUCAUAUUUGUUUGGUUGUGGUGUGUCAUGUGCAUGAAUGAAUCUGCUGCCUGCUGUAUGGCUAGCUGAGCUGAGCUGCCCUGACCCUUGUGUUUAAUUUUUUUUCUCUGAUCU